Molecule: ribosomal RNA, 395 nt
Filed under: uncultured bacterium
Lineage: Bacteria
Description: bacterial SSU rRNA
Rfam family: Bacterial small subunit ribosomal RNA
Source: RNAcentral
AUUGAACGCUGGCGGCAUGCUUUACACAUGCAAGUCGAACGGUAACAGGCCUUCGGGUGCUGACGAGUGGCGAACGGGUGAGUAAUGCAUCGGAACAUACCCAGUCGUGGGGGAUAACGUAGCGAAAGUUACGCUAAUACCGCAUACGUCCUGAGGGAGAAAGCGGGGGAUCGCAAGACCUCGCGCGAUUGGAGUGGCCGAUGUCAGAUUAGCUAGUUGGUGGGGUAAAGGCCCACCAAGGCGACGAUCUGUAGCGGGUCUGAGAGGAUGAUCCGCCACACUGGGACUGAGACACGGCCCAGACUCCUACGGGAGGCAGCAGUGGGGAAUUUUGGACAAUGGGCGCAAGCCUGAUCCAGCCAUGCCGCGUGAGUGAAGAAGGCCUCGGUUGUAAG